AGGUGACGGUGUUGAGACAGGUGACGGUGUUGAGACAGGUGACGGUGUUGAGACAGGUGACGGUGUUGAGACAGGUGACGGUGUUGAGACAGGUGACCGUGUUGAGACAGGUGACCGUGUUGAGACAGGUGACCGUGUUGAGACAGGUGACCGUGUUGAGACAGGUGACAGUAUUAAGACAGGUGACAGCAUUGAAAAAGGUGACCGUAUUGAAACAGGUGACAAUAUUGAGACAGGUGACAGUAUUGAGACAGGUGACAGUAUUAAGAGUAUUGAGACAUGUGACAGUAUUAAGAGUAUUGUAACAGUAUUAAGAGUAUUGAGACAGGUGACAGUAUUGAGACAGGUGACAGUAUUGAGACAGGUGACAGUAUUGAGACAGGUGACAGUAUUGAGACAGGUGACAGUAUUGAGACAGGUGACAGUAUUGAGACUGGUGACAGUAUUGAGACUGGUGACAGUAUUAAGAGUAUUGAGACAUGUGACAGUAUUAACAGUAUUGUGAAAGUAUUAAGAGUAUUGAGACAGGUGACAGUAUUAAGAGUAUUGAGACAAGUGACAGUAUUAACAGUAUUGUGAAAGUAUUAAGAGUAUUGAGACAGGUGACAGUAUUAAGAGUAUUGAGACAGGUGACAGUAUUGAGACAGGUGACAGUAUUGAGACAGGUGACAGUGUUGAGACAGGUGACAGUAUUGAGAGUAUUGAGAUAGGUGACAGUAUUGAGACAGGUGACAAUAUUUAGACAGGUGACCGUAUUGAGACAGGUGACCGUGUUGAGACAGGUGACGGUGUUGAGACAGGUGACGGUGUUGAGACAGGUGACGGUGUUGAGACAGGUGACGGUGUUGAGACAGGUGACGGUGUUGAGACAGGUGACGGUGUUGAGACAGGUGACGGUGUUGAGACAGGUGACGGUGUUGAGACAGGUGACGGUGUUGAGACAGGUGACCGUGUUGAGACAGGUGACGGUGUUGAGACAGGUGACCGUGUUGAGACAGGUGACCGUGUUGAGACAGGUGACCGUGUUGAGACAGGUGACCGUGUUGAGACAGGUGACAGUAUUAAGACAGGUGACAGCAUUGAAAAAGGUGACCGUAUUGAAACAGGUGACAAUAUUGAGACAGGUGACAGUAUUGAGACAGGUGACAGUAUUAAGAGUAUUGAGACAUGUGACAGUAUUGAGACAGGUGACAGUAUUAAGAGUAUUGUGACAGUAUUAAGAGUAUUGAGACAGGUGACAGUAUUGAGACAGGUGACAGUAUUAAGAGUAUUGUGACAGUAUUAAGAGUAUUGAGACAGGUGACAGUAUUGAGACAGGUGACAGUAUUGAGACAUGUGACAGUAUUAAGAGUAUUGUGAGAGUAUUAAGAGUAUUGAGACAGGUGACAGUAUUAAGAGUACUGUGACAGUAUUAAGAGUAUUGAGACAGGUGACAGUAUUGUGACGGUAUUGAGACAGGUGACCGUAUUGAUACUGGUGACAGUAUUGAGACAGGUGACAGUAUUAAGAGUAUUGAGACAUGUGACAGUAUUAAGAGUAUUGUAACAGGUGACAGUAUUGAGAGAGGUGACAGUAUUAAGAGUAUUGUGACAGGUGACAGUAUUGAGACAUGUGACAGUAUUAAGAGUAUUGUGACAGUAUUAAGAGUAUUGAGACAGGUUACAGUAUUGUGACAGUACUGAGACAGGUGACAGUAUUGAGACAGGUGACAGUAUUGAGACAGGUGACAGUAUUGAGACAGGUGACAGUAUUGAGACAGGUGGCAGUAUUGAGACAGGUGACAGUAUUGAGACUGGUGACAGUAUUGAGACUGGUGACAGUAUUAAGAGUAUUGAGACAUGUGACAGUAUUAAGAGUAUUGUGACAGUAUUAAGAGUAUUGAGACAGGUGACAGUAUUGAGACAGGUGACAGUAUUGAGACAGGUGACAGUAUUGAGACAGGUGACAGUAUUGAGACAGGUGACAGUAUUGAGACAGGUGACAGUAUUGAGACAGGUGACAGUAUUGAGACAGGUGACAGUAUUAAGAGUAUUGAGACAAGUGACAGUAUUAACAGUAUUGUGACAGUAUUAAGAGUAUUGAGACAGGUGACAGUAUUAAGAGUAUUGAGACAGGUGACAGUAUUAAGAGUAUUGUGACAGUAUUGAGACAGGUGACAGUAUUAAGAGUAUUGUGACAGUAUUAAGAGUAUUGAGACAGGUGACAGUAUUGAGACAGGUGACAGUAUUGAGACAGGUGACAAUAUUGAUACUGGUGACAGUAUUGAGACAGGUGACAGUA
RNA transcript from Oncorhynchus keta (chum salmon), 2280 nucleotides. RefSeq lists it as uncharacterized. The transcript has 9 exons. NCBI's taxonomy places the organism in Eukaryota, Metazoa, Chordata, Actinopteri, Salmoniformes, Salmonidae. The record is from RefSeq and is a predicted model, not a curated record.